Molecule: ribosomal RNA, 253 nt
Filed under: uncultured bacterium
Lineage: Bacteria
Description: partial 16S ribosomal RNA
Rfam family: Bacterial small subunit ribosomal RNA
Source: RNAcentral
UACAGAGGGGGCAAGCGUUGUUCGGAAUUACUGGGCGUAAAGGGCGCGUAGGCGGCCUUCUAAGUCAGACGUGAAAUCCCUCGGCUCAACCGGGGAACUGCGUCUGAUACUGAAAGGCUUGAAUCCGGGAGAGGAAUGCGGAAUUCCAGGUGUAGCGGUGAAAUGCGUAGAUAUCUGGAGGAACACCGGUGGCGAAGGCGGCAUUCUGGACCGGCAUUGACGCUGAGGCGCGAAAGCCAGGGGAGCAAACGGG